RNAcentral lists this ribosomal RNA (466 nucleotides) under uncultured bacterium. RNAcentral describes it as "partial 16S ribosomal RNA". It matches the Rfam family "Bacterial small subunit ribosomal RNA", at positions 339 to 795 of the family's 1533-position model. The record is from RNAcentral.
CUACGGGCUGCUGCAGUGGGGAAUAUUGCGCAAUGGGGGAAACCCUGACGCAGCGACGCCGCGUGGAGGAUGAAGGUUUUCGGAUCGUAAACUCCUGUCAGUAGGGAAGAACCCUGCAAGGAAUAAUACGCCUUGCAGCUGACGGUACCUACAGAGGAAGCACCGGCUAAUUCCGUGCCAGCAGGCCGCGGUAAUACGGAAGGUGCAUGCGUUAAUCGGAAUCACUGGGCGUAAAGCGCUCGUAGGUGGCUUUGUAAGUCAGGUGUGAAAGCCCACGGCUCAACCGUGGAAUUGCACUUGAUACUGCAUUGCUUGAGUUCGGGAGAGGGUAGUGGAAUUCCAGGUGUAGGAGUGAAAUCCGUAGAGAUCUGGAGGAACACCAGUGGCGAAGGCGACUACCUGGACCGAUACUGACACUGAGGAGCGAAAGCGUGGGGAGCAAACAGGAUUAGAUACCCCAGUAGUC